UUUUGUGGAGGGUUCGAUUCUGGCUCAGGAUGAACGCUGGCGGCGUGCUUAACACAUGCAAGUCGAACGGGAUCCAUCGGGCUUUGCUUGGUGGUGAGAGUGGCGAACGGGUGAGUAAUGCGUGACCGACCUGCCCCAUACACCGGAAUAGCUCCUGGAAACGGGUGGUAAUGCCGGAUGCUCCGACUCCUCGCAUGGGGUGUCGGGAAAGAUUUCAUCGGUAUGGGAUGGGGUCGCGUCCUAUCAGGUAGUCGGCGGGGUAACGGCCCACCGAGCCUACGACGGGUAGCCGGCCUGAGAGGGCGACCGGCCACAUUGGGACUGAGAUACGGCCCAGACUCCUACGGGAGGCAGCAGUGGGGAAUAUUGCACAAUGGGCGCAAGCCUGAUGCAGCGACGCCGCGUGCGGGAUGACGGCCUUCGGGUUGUAAACCGCUUUUGAUCGGGAGCAAGCCUUCGGGUGAGUGUACCUUUCGAAUAAGCACCGGCUAACUACGUGCCAGCAGCCGCGGUAAUACGUAGGGUGCAAGCGUUAUCCGGAAUUAUUGGGCGUAAAGGGCUCGUAGGCGGUUCGUCGCGUCCGGUGUGAAAGUCCAUCGCUUAACGGUGGAUCUGCGCCGGGUACGGGCGGGCUGGAGUGCGGUAGGGGAGACUGGAAUUCCCGGUGUAACGGUGGAAUGUGUAGAUAUCGGGAAGAACACCAAUGGCGAAGGCAGGUCUCUGGGCCGUUACUGACGCUGAGGAGCGAAAGCGUGGGGAGCGAACAGGAUUAGAUACCCUGGUAGUCCACGCCGUAAACGGUGGAUGCUGGAUGUGGGGCCCGUUCCACGGGUUCCGUGUCGGAGCUAACGCGUUAAGCAUCCCGCCUGGGGAGUACGGCCGCAAGGCUAAAACUCAAAGAAAUUGACGGGGGCCCGCACAAGCGGCGGAGCAUGCGGAUUAAUUCGAUGCAACGCGAAGAACCUUACCUGGGCUUGACAUGUUCCCGACAGCCGUAGAGAUAUGGCCUCCCUUCGGGGCGGGUUCACAGGUGGUGCAUGGUCGUCGUCAGCUCGUGUCGUGAGAUGUUGGGUUAAGUCCCGCAACGAGCGCAACCCUCGCCCUGUGUUGCCAGCACGUCAUGGUGGGAACUCACGGGGGACCGCCGGGGUCAACUCGGAGGAAGGUGGGGAUGACGUCAGAUCAUCAUGCCCCUUACGUCCAGGGCUUCACGCAUGCUACAAUGGCCGGUACAACGGGAUGCGACACGGCGACGUGGAGCGGAUCCCUGAAAACCGGUCUCAGUUCGGAUUGGAGUCUGCAACCCGACUCCAUGAAGGCGGAGUCGCUAGUAAUCGCGGAUCAGCAACGCCGCGGUGAAUGCGUUCCCGGGCCUUGUACACACCGCCCGUCAAGUCAUGAAAGUGGGUAGCACCCGAAGCCGGUGGCCUAACCCUUUGUGGAUGGAGCCGUCUAAGGUGAGACUCGUGAUUGGGACUAAGUCGUAACAAGGUAGCCGUACCGGAAGGUGCGGCUGGAUCACCUCCUUUCUACGGAG
RNAcentral lists this ribosomal RNA (1537 nucleotides) under Bifidobacterium pseudocatenulatum. Its description in RNAcentral is "bacterial SSU rRNA". It matches the Rfam family "Bacterial small subunit ribosomal RNA". Lineage: Bacteria; Bacillati; Actinomycetota; Actinomycetes; Bifidobacteriales; Bifidobacteriaceae. The record is from RNAcentral.